Non-coding RNA from Biomphalaria pfeifferi, 518 nucleotides. The record is from the annotation of a GenBank genome assembly. Lineage: Eukaryota; Metazoa; Mollusca; Gastropoda; Planorbidae.
GAAAAAGUAAAAAAAAAAAAAAAAAAAGUGUGUAGGCUACAACAAAACAGUUCACCAUUUUUGACUAAUUGAAGUUACAACCGAUAUGUUAUAAACAUAUAGAGUGCUUGCUAUUGUUUUCUUUGACUUUGAUUUACAUAUGCAGUUGAAGGCAUUACACAUUUUGUGAUUGUCAUUUCAUUUUUGUCAUGAUGUCCUAUCAAGUCCUAAUUAUAUUUAUAGAUUGACCAAUAUAAGACAUUCCUAAAGAUUUUUUGUUUAUUUGCUUUGAAAUUUAAAAGCAUUUUAUUAUAAUGUUGCUAUGUCUUUUGAAAGCCUCUUCUGCCUGGGAACUUUUUUAUUUUUAAUGAAGUCACAAUCUAUUGUUUCUAUUAUUUCAUCUUAACAUUCUAUUCCAAAUUUUUAAAAAUCCUUCUAACAUAUACUUAACUUUAAAACUUAAUAUAUAUUGUAUCAUGCAUUUAUGAAAGAUAAUAUCUAGAUGAUAUUAAUAAAAUUUGCUGAUAUUGAGACUGAAA